CGCGGGAUUGGGGGACGGGGUGCAGCUGGCGCGAAAACUUUACAAUGCGGGGAACCGCGAUAAGGGGAUACUGAGUGCCAGCAUAUUAUGUUGGCUGUCCACCUGUAUAAACAGCAGGUGUUAGCAAGGGCCGGGCAAGACCGGUGCCAGCCGCCGCGGUAACACCGGCGGCCCGAGUGGUGGCCACUAUUAUUGGGUCUAAAGGGUCCGUAGCCGGUUUGAUCAGUCUUCCGGGAAAUCUGACAGCUCAACUGUUAGGCUUCCGGGGGAUACUGUCAGACUUGGGACCGGGAGAGGUAAGAGGUACUACAGGGGUAGGAGUGAAAUCUUGUAAUCCUUGUGGGACCACCAGUGGCGAAGGCGUCUUACCAGAACGGGUCCGACGGUGAGGGACGAAAGCUGGGGGCACGAACCGGAUUAGAUACCCGGGUAGUCCCAGCCGUAAACGAUGCUCGCUAGGUGUCUGGGACGGUGCGACCGUUUCAGGUGCCGCAGGGAAGCCGUGAAGCGAGCCACCUGGGAAGUACGGCCGCAAGGCUGAAACUUAAAGGAAUUGGCGGGGGAGCACUACAACGGGUGGAGCCUGCGGUUUAAUUGGACUCAACGCCGGAAAACUCACCUGGGGCGACAGCAAUAUGUAGGUCAGGCUGAAGGUCUUACCUGAAUCGCUGAGAGGAGGUGCAUGGCCGUCGUCAGUUCGUACUGCGAAGCAUCCUGUUAAGUCAGGCAACGAGCGAGACCCGUGCCCACUGUUGCCAGCAUAUCCUUCGGGAUGAUGGGUACUCUGUGGGGACCGCUGGUGCUAAACCAGAGGAAGGUGCGGGCUACGGUAGGUCAGUAUGCCCCGAAUCUCCAGGGCUACACGCGGGCUACAAUGACCGGGACAAUGGGUCCCUACCCCGAAAGGGGUUGGUAAUCUCAUAAACCCGGCCUUAGUUCGAAUUGAGGGCUGUAACUCGCCCUCAUGAAGCUGGAAUCCGUAGUAAUCGCGUUUCAAUAUAGCGCGGUGAAUACGUCCCUGCUCCUUGCACGAAUUCGCCGAAUCACUAGU
RNAcentral lists this ribosomal RNA (1051 nucleotides) under uncultured Methanolobus sp. RNAcentral's name for it is "bacterial SSU rRNA". It matches the Rfam family "Archaeal small subunit ribosomal RNA", at positions 302 to 1362 of the family's 1478-position model. The record is from RNAcentral. Lineage: Archaea; Methanobacteriati; Methanobacteriota; Methanomicrobia; Methanosarcinales; Methanosarcinaceae.